RNAcentral lists this ribosomal RNA (445 nucleotides) under uncultured bacterium. RNAcentral describes it as "SSU rRNA". It matches the Rfam family "Bacterial small subunit ribosomal RNA", at positions 26 to 518 of the family's 1533-position model. The record is from RNAcentral.
AGAACGAACGCUGGCGGCAUGCCUAACACAUGCAAGUCGAACGAGACCUUCGGGUCUAGUGGCGCACGGGUGCGUAACGCGUGGGAAUCUGCCCAAAGGUUCGGAAUAACUCAGGGAAACUUGAGCUAAUACCGGAUGAUGUCGCAAGACCAAAGAUUUAUCGCCUUUGGAUGAGCCCGCGUAGGAUUAGCUUGUUGGUGGGGUAAAGGCUCACCAAGGCUACGAUCCUUAGCUGGUCUGAGAGGAUGAUCAGCCACACUGGGACUGAGACACGGCCCAGACUCCUACGGGAGGCAGCAGUGGGGAAUAUUGGACAAUGGGCGAAAGCCUGAUCCAGCAAUGCCGCGUGAGUGAUGAAGGCCCUAGGGUUGUAAAGCUCUUUUACCCGGGAAGAUAAUGACUGUACCGGGAGAAUAAGCCCGGCUAACUCCGUGCCAGCAGCCGC